Molecule: ribosomal RNA, 238 nt
Filed under: uncultured bacterium
Lineage: Bacteria
Description: partial 16S ribosomal RNA
Rfam family: Bacterial small subunit ribosomal RNA
Source: RNAcentral
GAUCAUGGCUCAGGAUGAACGCUAGCUACAGGCUUAACACAUGCAAGUCGAGGGGCAGCAUGGUCUUAGCUUGCUAAGGCCGAUGGCGACCGGCGCACGGGUGAGUAACACGUAUCCAACCUGCCGAUAACUCGGGGAUAGCCUUUCGAAAGAAAGAUUAAUACCCGAUGGUAUAAUCAGACCGCAUGGUUUGAUUAUUAAAGAAUUUCGGUUAUCGAUGGGGAUGCGUUCCAUUAGG